This 752-nucleotide ribosomal RNA is filed under the name uncultured bacterium. RNAcentral describes it as "bacterial SSU rRNA". It matches the Rfam family "Bacterial small subunit ribosomal RNA", at positions 8 to 796 of the family's 1533-position model. The record is from RNAcentral.
AGAGUUUGAUCAUGGCUCAGAGCGAACGCUGGCGGCAUGCCUAACACAUGCAAGUCGAACGUGAUCCAGGCUUCGGUCUGGUGAAAGUGGCAAACGGGUGAGUAACGCGUGGGAACCUGCCCAGAGGUAGGGAAUAACUGCGGGAAACUGCAGCUAAUACCCUAUGUGUCCUGAGGGACAAAGAUUUAUCGCCUUUGGAGGGGCCCGCGUCGGAUUAGGUAGUUGGUGGGGUAACGGCCUACCAAGCCAUCGAUCCGUAGCUGGUCUGAGAGGAUGAUCAGCCACACUGGGACUGAGAUACGGCCCAGACUCCUACGGGAGGCAGCAGUGGGGAAUAUUGGACAAUGGGGGCAACCCUGAUCCAGCAAUGCCGCGUGAGUGAUGAAGGCCUUCGGGUUGUAAAGCUCUUUCGGCGGGGAAGAUGAUGACGGUACCCGCAGAAGAAGCCCCGGCUAACUUCGUGCCAGCAGCCGCGGUAAUACGAAGGGGGCUAGCGUUGUUCGGAAUUACUGGGCGUAAAGGGCGCGUAGGCUGUGCUGUAAGUCAGGCGUGAAAUCCCCGGGCUCAACCUGGGAAUUGCGUUUGAUACUGCGGCGCUGGAAUGCAGGAGAGGAUGGCGGAAUUCCCAGUGUAGAGGUGAAAUUCGUAGAUAUUGGGAAGAACACCGGUGGCGAAGGCGGCCAUCUGGCCUGUAAUUGACGCUGAGGCGCGAAAGCGUGGGGAGCAAACAGGAUUAGAUACCCUAGUAGUCC